UAUGAAUGUGGAUAUGCAAAUCAAACAUGUUUGUUUCUUUGUUUCCCCAGGGAAAACUUGAAGAGUCUUUCACUUUUCAUCCUCCAGUCACUGAUUGGGCUAUAAGGACACUGUGUGAGGUGGUGGGAGCAAAAAGCAGCUGUUUUCCUGACCCCUUACCGUCUAGCAUAGAAUUUGAUGGACAGAAUAUUGGUACCAGCUGUGGAAGAGCUGUUCAGCCUCAACUCCAGAACUCUAUCCUGAGACACAACUACAGGAUGUGCCUUGGAGAAGUUUCAUAAAAUAGUUGGAUUCAGUUCUUUCAUUAAGGAGG
Molecule: long non-coding RNA, 313 nt
Filed under: Numida meleagris (helmeted guineafowl)
Lineage: Eukaryota; Metazoa; Chordata; Aves; Galliformes; Numididae
Description: lncRNA (ENSNMEG00000010105.1)
Source: RNAcentral